RNAcentral lists this ribosomal RNA (407 nucleotides) under uncultured bacterium. RNAcentral's name for it is "partial 16S ribosomal RNA". It matches the Rfam family "Bacterial small subunit ribosomal RNA", at positions 30 to 526 of the family's 1533-position model. The record is from RNAcentral.
AUUGCACUCUGGCGGCAGGCCUAACACAUGCAAGUCGUGCGGAGCGGCGGACGGGUGAGUAAUGCCUAGGAAUCUGCCUGGUAGUGGGGGAUAACGUCCGGAAACGGGCGAUAAUACCGCAUACUAUCAGAUGAGCCUAGGUAGGAUUAGCUAGUUGGUGGUGUAAAGGCCUACCACGGCGACGAUCCGUAACUGGUCUGAGAGGAUGAUCAGUCACACUGGAACAUGGACACGGUCCAGACUCCUACGGGAGGCAGCAGUUGGGAAUAGUGGACAAUGGGCGAAAGCCUGAUCCAGCCAUGCCGCGUGUGUGAAGAAGGUCUACGGAUUGUAAAGCACUUUAAGUUGGGAGGCGUUACCAGCAGAAUAAGCACCGGCUAACUUCGUGAGAGCAGCCGCGGUAAUAC